Molecule: ribosomal RNA, 253 nt
Filed under: uncultured bacterium
Lineage: Bacteria
Description: partial 16S ribosomal RNA
Rfam family: Bacterial small subunit ribosomal RNA
Source: RNAcentral
GACGAACCGUGCAAACGUUGUUCGGAAUCACUGGGCUUAAAGGGCGCGUAGGCGGGCAAGCAAGUCGAAGGUGAAAUCCCACGGCUCAACCGUGGAAGUGCCCCCGAUACUGCUUGUCUUGAGGGAGAUAGGGGCGUGCGGAACUUCCGGUGGAGCGGUGAAAUGCGUAGAUAUCGGAAGGAACACCGGUGGCGAAGGCAGCUCUCUGGGACGGUACUGACGCUGAGACGCGAAAGCGUGGGGAGCGAACAGG